UUUGCGAUGAUGAGGUGAAACACUGGACGUGUUUUGGGCAGUGGACAUGACCUCUAUUUGGGGUCUUGCCGUGAGCUCAUUCUUACAAAACGACUUCUCCUUCCACUGAGCUCC
Prunus dulcis (almond) is the source of this 114-nucleotide small nucleolar RNA. RefSeq annotates it as small nucleolar RNA Z152/R70/R12. The record is from RefSeq and is a predicted model, not a curated record. NCBI's taxonomy places the organism in Eukaryota, Viridiplantae, Streptophyta, Magnoliopsida, Rosales, Rosaceae. The transcript has a single exon.